GUCCUGAUAGUAUAAACAUUACACUGGUCUUGUAAACCAGAAAUGAAGAUUUAUUUUUCUCAGGAUA
This 67-nucleotide transfer RNA is filed under the name Eolagurus luteus (Yellow steppe lemming). RNAcentral's name for it is "tRNA-Thr". It matches the Rfam family "tRNA". From Rfam's summary of the family: Transfer RNA (tRNA) molecules are approximately 80 nucleotides in length. Their secondary structure includes four short double-helical elements and three loops (D, anti-codon, and T loops). Further hydrogen bonds mediate the characteristic L-shaped molecular structure. tRNAs have two regions of fundamental functional importance: the anti-codon, which is responsible for specific mRNA codon recognition, and the 3' end, to which the tRNAs corresponding amino acid is attached (by aminoacyl-tRNA synthetases). tRNAs cope with the degeneracy of the genetic code in two manners: having more than one tRNA (with a specific anti-codon) for a particular amino acid; and 'wobble' base-pairing, i.e. permitting non-standard base-pairing at the 3rd anti-codon position. The record is from RNAcentral. Lineage: Eukaryota; Metazoa; Chordata; Mammalia; Rodentia; Cricetidae.